This 229-nucleotide ribosomal RNA is filed under the name uncultured bacterium. RNAcentral's name for it is "partial 16S ribosomal RNA". It matches the Rfam family "Bacterial small subunit ribosomal RNA", at positions 568 to 796 of the family's 1533-position model. The record is from RNAcentral.
UACGUAGGCGGAAAAUUAAGUCAGUAGUGAAAUCCUGCAGCUUAACUGUAGAACUGUUAUUGAUACUGGUUUUCUUGAAUAUAGUUGAGGUAGGCGGAAUGAGUAAUGUAGCGGUGAAAUGCUUAGAUAUUACUCAGAACACCGAUUGCGAAGGCAGCUUACUAAGCUAUGAUUGACGCUGAGGCACGAAAGCGUGGGGAGCGAACAGGAUUAGAUACCCUGGUAGUCC